AGGACGAACGCUGGCGGCGUGCUUAACACAUGCAAGUCGAACGGUGGAGGAGAGCUUGCUCUCUGGAUCAGUGGCGAACGGGUGAGUAACACGUGAGUAACCUGCCCUUGACUCUGGGAUAAGCGUUGGAAACGACGUCUAAUACCGGAUACGAGCUUCGAGUCGCAUGGCUAGGAGCUAGGAAAGUAAUUUCGGUCAAGGAUGGACUCGCGGCCUAUCAGCUAGUUGGUGAGGUAAUGGCUCACCAAGGCGACGACGGGUAGCCGGCCUGAGGAGGGUGACCGGCCAGACGUAGGGACUGACGACACCGGCCCAGGACCUCCCGUACGGGGA
This 333-nucleotide ribosomal RNA is filed under the name uncultured soil bacterium. RNAcentral's name for it is "bacterial SSU rRNA". It matches the Rfam family "Bacterial small subunit ribosomal RNA", at positions 26 to 347 of the family's 1533-position model. The record is from RNAcentral.